UCUUUGCAACGCCUCCGAAUAAUUUAUAAGAAUUUGAUUAUUUAAGUAUUGUAUGUUUUUUUUAAUUAGGGAUCAAAUGACAAAGGAUGAUAUUAUAAAGUGUAUGGAGUUGUUAAUGAUAAGGAAAAUGAAUCUUUUACCAAUGCUGCUAAUCGGUAUGAUGUUGUCUAUUCAAGUCUUGCUGCUAGGCUAUGGUUCUAGAAGCAUGCAUGGAGGUUUUAAUGGUGUUAGAGGAGCAUUUACACAUUUUUAACAGAUGGAAGUUGAACAUCAAGCUUUGAUCUAUAAACAGGAUACAACCAAGGUUUCUAUCAUGGAGGAGGACAUGUUGCUUCCAACUGUUGAGGCUUUACAGUCGAGUGUAUGUUGUCAUUCCAUGUUUCAUCCAAUUUGUAAUUAUUUUGAAUUGUUUCUUAAUUGUGUGAAAUAUUGAAUAACGUAUUUGAUGUUAUUCCUCAAAUUGGCAAUAGAUGCAAUUAGACUUUAUCUUUCAUUAGGACUUAUGUUUUGGUAUCUGCUACAAUUGCAAUUGAUUUGGUUGUUUGUGACCUAUGUCUUGGUAAAACAGUA
This is a long non-coding RNA of Lathyrus oleraceus (garden pea), 570 nucleotides long. RefSeq lists it as uncharacterized. The record is from RefSeq and is a predicted model, not a curated record. NCBI's taxonomy places the organism in Eukaryota, Viridiplantae, Streptophyta, Magnoliopsida, Fabales, Fabaceae. The transcript has 3 exons.